This 536-nucleotide long non-coding RNA is filed under the name Mytilus galloprovincialis (Mediterranean mussel). The record is from RNAcentral. Lineage: Eukaryota; Metazoa; Mollusca; Bivalvia; Mytilida; Mytilidae.
CAACAUUUAGAUAAAAAAAAGAAAUUGUAUUUGAGUAAGAGCUGUGUCGUAAAAUAAUGACCCCUUAAAGGCAGAAAAUGAUAUUCUAUCAUAUGGGUGAUAAGGGUACUCGUUUAUGUUUAUUAUUUGAUUGAAGUGGGUAAUUGGAUGUUUCAUGAAACUUUACAAAGCUACUGUACACUGCUUAUGCUGUACAUAAAAGAAUAUGAUUGCAGACCAAAAGUGUAAAGGAAAGAUAACCAAACUUAUGAUAGAUUUGUUCACUAUUUAUCAACAUUUAGAUGGAAAAAAAGAAAUUGUAUUUGAGUAAGGGCUGUGUCCUAAAAUAAUGACCCCUUAAAGGCAGAAAAUUAUAUCCUAUCAUAUGGGUAAUAAGGGUACUUUUUUAUGUUCAUUAUUACCUUGACGUAGGGUAAUUAAAUGUUUCAUUAAACUUUACAAAUCUACUGUACACGACUUAUUAUGUACAUAAACGAAAAUGAUUGCAGACCAACAGUGUAAAGGGAAGGUAACCAAUGUUAUAUUUUUAAAAGGGG